AGAGAGAGAGAGAGAGAGAGAGAGAGAGAGAGAGAGAGAGAGAGGGGCAAAUAAAUAUGAGUGUGGAUCUCGGCCUGCAGGGCCUACAGGGCCUUUGGGCAACUGCCAAACCACACUGUGGAGCACGCCUCGAGCCAGUGUGUGUGUGUGUGUGUGGACCCCGGGAGGUGGACCCAGGGAGUGCGUGUGUGGUCUUGGAGCCUCCUCCCCCAUAGAGUUCUCUACCUCUCUCUCUAACACACACUAUGAGGUAGUUCUCCUCCCCCAUAGAGCUUUCUACCUCUCUCUCUAACACACACUAUGAGGUAGUUCUCCUCCCCCAUAGAGUUCUCUACCUCUCUCUCUAACACACACUAUGAGGUAGUUCUCCUCCCCCAUAGAGUUCUCUACCUCUCUCUCUAACACACACUAUGAGGUAGUUCUCCUCCCCCAUAGAGCUCUCUACCUCUCUCUCUAACACACACUAUGAGGUAGUUCUCCUCCCCCAUAGAGCUCUCUACCUCUCUCUCUAACACACACUAAGAGGUAGUUCUCCUACCCCAUAGAGCUCUCUACCUCUCUCUCUAACACACACUAAGAGGUAGUUCUCCUCCCCCAUAGAGCUCUCUACCUCUCUCUCUAACACACACUAUGAGGUAGUUCUCCUCCCCCAUAGAGCUCUCUACCUCUCUCUCUAACACACACUAUGAGGUAGUUCUCCUCCCCCAUAGAGCUCUCUACCUCUCUCUCUAACACACACUAUGAGGUAGUUCUCCUCCCCCAUAGAGUUCUCUACCUCUCUCUCUAACACACACUAUGAGGUAGUUCUCCUCCCCCAUAGAGUUCUCUACCUCUCUCUCUAACACACACUAUGAGGUAGUUCUCCUCCCCCAUAGAGUUCUCUACCUCUCUCUCUAACACACACUAUGAGGUAGUUCUCCUCCCCCAUAGAGCUCUCUACCUCUCUCUCUAACACACACUAUGAGGUAGUUCUCCUCCCCCAUAGAG
Oncorhynchus keta (chum salmon) is the source of this 987-nucleotide long non-coding RNA. RefSeq lists it as uncharacterized. NCBI's taxonomy places the organism in Eukaryota, Metazoa, Chordata, Actinopteri, Salmoniformes, Salmonidae. The record is from RefSeq and is a predicted model, not a curated record. The transcript has 5 exons.